UACGUAGGUGGCAAGCGUUGUCCGGAUUUAUUGGGUUUAAAGGGUGCGUAGGCGGUCCCAUAAGUCAGUGGUGAAAUACGGCAGCUCAACUGUCGAGGUGCCAUUGAUACUGCGGGACUUGAGUACUGAUGAGGUAGGCGGAAUUGACGGUGUAGCGGUGAAAUGCUUAGAUAUGACACAGAACACCGAUUGCGAAGGCAGCUCACUAAACUGUAACUGACGCUGAGGCACGAAAGCGUGGGGAGCAAACAGG
RNAcentral lists this ribosomal RNA (253 nucleotides) under uncultured prokaryote. RNAcentral describes it as "partial 16S ribosomal RNA". It matches the Rfam family "Bacterial small subunit ribosomal RNA", at positions 524 to 776 of the family's 1533-position model. The record is from RNAcentral.